UGACGAUGGACUUUUACUGGCAAUUAC
This 27-nucleotide non-coding RNA is filed under the name Bombyx mori (domestic silkworm). The record is from RNAcentral. Lineage: Eukaryota; Metazoa; Arthropoda; Insecta; Lepidoptera; Bombycidae.